GAUGAACGCUGGCGGCGUGCUUAACACAUGCAAGUCGAACGAUGAAGCCCAGCUUGCUGGGUGGAUUAGUGGCGAACGGGUGAGUAACACGUGAGUAACCUGCCCUUAACUCUGGGAUAAGCCUGGGAAACUGGGUCUAAUACCGGAUAGGAGCGUCCACCGCAUGGUGGGUGUUGGAAAGAUUUAUCGGUUUUGGAUGGACUCGCGGCCUAUCAGCUUGUUGGUGAGGUAAUGGCUCACCAAGGCGACGACGGGUAGCCGGCCUGAGAGGGUGACCGGCCACACUGGGACUGAGACACGGCCCAGACUCCAACGGGAGGCAGCAGUGGGGAAUAGUGCACAAUGGGCGCAAGCCUGAUGCAGCGACGCCGCGUGGGGGAUGACGGCAUUCGGGUUGUAAACCUCUUCCAGUAGGGAAGAAGCGAAAGUGACGGUACCUGCAGAAGAAGCACCGGCUAACUACGUG
This 466-nucleotide ribosomal RNA is filed under the name uncultured bacterium. RNAcentral's name for it is "partial 16S ribosomal RNA". It matches the Rfam family "Bacterial small subunit ribosomal RNA", at positions 28 to 507 of the family's 1533-position model. The record is from RNAcentral.